UACGGAGGAUGCAAGCGUUAUCCGGAUUUAUUGGGUUUAAAGGGUGCGUAGGCGGGACAAUAAGUCAGUGGUGAAAUCCUACGGCUUAACUGUAGAAUUGCCAUUGAUACUGUUGUUCUUGAGUGCAGCUGAAGAGGGCGGAAUGUGUUGUGUAGCGGUGAAAUGCUUAGAUAUAACACAGAACACCGAUUGCGAAGGCAGCUCUCUAAACUGCAACUGACGCUGAGGCACGAAAGCGUGGGGAUCAAACAGG
Molecule: ribosomal RNA, 253 nt
Filed under: uncultured bacterium
Lineage: Bacteria
Description: partial 16S ribosomal RNA
Rfam family: Bacterial small subunit ribosomal RNA
Source: RNAcentral